This 700-nucleotide ribosomal RNA is filed under the name uncultured bacterium. Its description in RNAcentral is "bacterial SSU rRNA". It matches the Rfam family "Bacterial small subunit ribosomal RNA", at positions 8 to 703 of the family's 1533-position model. The record is from RNAcentral.
AGAGUUUGAUCAUGGCUCAGAUUGAACGCUGGCGGAAUGCUUUACACAUGCAAGUCGAACGAUGAACCUUAGCUUGCUAAGGGGAUUAGUGGCGAACGGGUGAGUAAUAUAUCGGAACGUGCCUUGUAAUGGGGGAUAACUAGUCGAAAGAUUAGCUAAUACCGCAUACGCCCUGAGGGGGAAAGUAGGGGAUCUUCGGACCUUACGUUAUAAGAGCGGCCGAUAUCUGAUUAGCUAGUUGGUGGGGUAAUGGCCUACCAAGGCUUCGAUCAGUAGCUGGUCUGAGAGGACGACCAGCCACACUGGAACUGAGACACGGUCCAGACUCCUACGGGAGGCAGCAGUGGGGAAUUUUGGACAAUGGGCGCAAGCCUGAUCCAGCCAUUCCGCGUGAGUGAAGAAGGCCUUCGGGUUGUAAAGCUCUUUCGCAAGGGAAGAAAACUUACACAAUAACACUGUGUGAGGCUGACGGUACCUUGAUAAGAAGCACCGGCUAACUACGUGCCAGCAGCCGCGGUAAUACGUAGGGUGCAAGCGUUAAUCGGAAUUACUGGGCGUAAAGCGUGCGCAGGCGGUUUUGUAAGACGGAUGUGAAAUCCCCGGGCUUAACCUGGGAACUGCAUUCGUGACUGCAAGGCUAGAGUAUGGCAGAGGGGGGUAGAAUUCCACGUGUAGCAGUGAAAUGCGUAGAGAUGUGGAG